Molecule: ribosomal RNA, 468 nt
Filed under: uncultured bacterium
Lineage: Bacteria
Description: partial 16S ribosomal RNA
Rfam family: Bacterial small subunit ribosomal RNA
Source: RNAcentral
GACGAACGCUGGCGGCGUGCUUAACACAUGCAAGUCGAACGGAAAGGCCCUGCUUUUGUGGGGUGCUCGAGUGGCGAACGGGUGAGUAACACGUGAGUAACCUGCCCUUGACUUUGGGAUAACUUCAGGAAACUGGGGCUAAUACCGGAUAGGAGCUCCUGCUGCAUGGUGGGGGUUGGAAAGUUUCGGCGGUUGGGGAUAGACUCGCGGCUUAUCAGCUUGUUGGUCGGGUAGUUGCUUACCAAGGCUUUGACGGGUAGCCGGCCUGAGAGGGUGACCGGCCACAUUGGGACUGAGAUACGGACCAGAAUCCUACGGGAGGCAGCAGUGGGGAAUAUUGCACAAUGGGCGGAAGCCUGAUGCAGCAACGCCGCGUGCGGGAUGACGGCCUUCGGGUUGUAAACCGCUUUCGCCUGUGACGAAGCGUGAGUGACGGUAAUGGGUAAAGAAGCACCGGCUAACUACGUG